Molecule: non-coding RNA, 951 nt
Organism: Arachis ipaensis
Lineage: Eukaryota; Viridiplantae; Streptophyta; Magnoliopsida; Fabales; Fabaceae
Source: RefSeq, a predicted model, not a curated record
UAUUUUCUUACUUCUACCACAAAUAUUUUUAAAAUUCAUCUAAUAAAACCCUAAUUUCUCAUCACACUUUUCAAUCUAUCCACAAAGCCACUGCCACCUGCUUCACUCUUCUCUGGUCUCUGCCAUCACCGUCGCCGUCCAAUCCGGCACUCGCUGCCAGUCUCAGCCCAUCUCCCGGCGUCGCUAUUAGGCUCUUUCUCCCCGUCGUUCAUUCUCAUUAUCUCUGUUCUAUCUUCUCUCUUCGAGUCGUCGUCAGCGCUGUGGUGCUCCAGUCUCCUCCUUCAUCCUCCACUUCCAGAGUUUCAAUGGAGCCUCAGCUUUAGGAUGAUCAUGAGGGUGUUAGGAACGUGGAUGAUGACAACUUUAUAGACGACACUGGGGUGGAAGCUGGUGGUUACUAUUGGCAGUGAUGAACCUCGUUCUCUUGGUGAUGCUCCCCAGAGGAUGAUGAAAUUAAGGAUCUUUUCAAGAUAGGUAAGAAAAAGAAGAAGAAUGAGAGAAGUCUUGCAGAAAUAGCUUUAUUAGUUGAGAACGUCUGACUUCUGCGAUUCACAUUCCUGGAACAAACACGAUUCAGACUCCUGGAACCAACCACUAAACACUGAUCGAUAUUUUGGCCAAUCGGAAAGAAGAGAAGAAUAAAUGAAAAUUCGUUCGCCAUCAAGGAACGAAACCGGAAAUUUUUUCCAUGCAAGUUGUGACAGCACUAACAUAGUGAACUUGCUCAAACUAUAGCAUAAACAUUGCUUGUCUCAUUUUGAUUCUGCAUAGCAAAAUGUUAAAGGAACUAUAGGGCAUCUUAGAGGAAGCAAAUUCUACUAUGCAAGUUGAGUAGAAUUAGGAGUCAAUUAUCAGGGCUUUGAAUGGUUUGUAUAUUCUGAAUCACAGUUACUAAGUAUUUUUUGAAGUUUCUUGUGAACCACCAUAUGUUCAUUAAUCUUUUAUAACUAA